RNAcentral lists this ribosomal RNA (253 nucleotides) under uncultured bacterium. RNAcentral's name for it is "partial 16S ribosomal RNA". It matches the Rfam family "Bacterial small subunit ribosomal RNA", at positions 524 to 776 of the family's 1533-position model. The record is from RNAcentral.
UACGUAGGGAGCAAGCGUUAUCCGGAUUUAUUGGGUGUAAAGGGUGCGUAGACGGGAAUUUAAGUUAGUUGUGAAAUCCCUCGGCUUAACUGAGGAACUGCAACUAAAACUGAAUUUCUUGAGUGCGGGAGAGGAAAGUGGAAUUCCUAGUGUAGCGGUGAAAUACGUAGAUAUUAGGAGGAACACCAGUGGCGAAGGCGACUUUCUGGACCGUAACUGACGUUGAGGCACGAAAGUGUGGGGAGCAAACAGG